GAUUUGUGUGGAGGUGAGACGAGAAC
Molecule: small RNA, 26 nt
Filed under: Arabidopsis thaliana (thale cress)
Lineage: Eukaryota; Viridiplantae; Streptophyta; Magnoliopsida; Brassicales; Brassicaceae
Description: ATSL130640
Source: RNAcentral